AGGCAGCUGGACAGCCGCGGUCCGCUUAGGGCGGGACGAGGAAAGUCCGAGCUCCAUAGGGCAGGGUGCUGGGUAACCCCCAGUGGAGGCGACUCCAAGGAAAGUGCAACAGAGAUAUACCGCCCGUUUUGUAGCGGGUAAGGGUGGAAAGGCGAGGUAAGAGCUCACCAGCGGACGGGGUGACCUGCCCGCUCUGUAAACCCCACCUGGAGCAAGAUUGAUGGAAGAGCGCGGCGGCCCGCCGCAUUUCCAGAUAAUCGCUUGAGCCUGCGGGCAACCACAGGCCUAGAUAGAUGGCUGUUCACGACAGAACUCGGCUUACAGGCUGC
Molecule: RNase P RNA, 329 nt
Filed under: human gut metagenome
Description: Bacterial RNase P class A
Rfam family: Bacterial RNase P class A
About the family: Ribonuclease P (RNase P) is a ubiquitous endoribonuclease, found in archaea, bacteria and eukarya as well as chloroplasts and mitochondria.
Source: RNAcentral